GGGGCGCCAGAGAGGGUGAG
This 20-nucleotide small nuclear RNA is filed under the name Arabidopsis thaliana (thale cress). Its description in RNAcentral is "snRNA_00096". The record is from RNAcentral. Lineage: Eukaryota; Viridiplantae; Streptophyta; Magnoliopsida; Brassicales; Brassicaceae.